Molecule: ribosomal RNA, 254 nt
Filed under: uncultured bacterium
Lineage: Bacteria
Description: partial 16S ribosomal RNA
Rfam family: Bacterial small subunit ribosomal RNA
Source: RNAcentral
UACGUAGGGUGCAAGCGUUGUCCGGAAUCAUUGGGCGUAAAGAGCUCGUAGGCGGCUUAGUAAGUCGGGUGUGAAAACCCCAGGCUCAACCUGGGGACGCCACCCGAUACUGCUAUAGCUAGAGUCCAGUAGGGGAGUGUGGAAUUCCCAGUGUAGCGGUGAAAUGCGCAGAUAUCAGGAGGAACACCGGUGGCGAAGGCGGAUCUCUGGGCCUUACCUGACGCUCAGGCGCGAAAGCGUGGGGAGCGAACAGG